This 931-nucleotide ribosomal RNA is filed under the name Entoloma cretaceum. RNAcentral describes it as "eukaryotic LSU rRNA". It matches the Rfam family "Eukaryotic large subunit ribosomal RNA", at positions 55 to 940 of the family's 3401-position model. The record is from RNAcentral. Lineage: Eukaryota; Fungi; Basidiomycota; Agaricomycetes; Agaricales; Entolomataceae.
CGAAAGACUACAGGAUUUCCUUAGUACUGCGAGUGAAGUGGAAAGAGCUCAAAUUUAAAAUCUGAUAGYCAUCUGGCUGUCUGAGUUGUAAUCUAAAGAAGUAUUAUCCGCUCUGGACCAUGUACAAGUCUCCUGGAAUGGAGCCUCAUAGAGGGUGAGAAUCCCGUCUUUUAACAUAGACUACCAGGGUUUUUUUUGUGAUAUACUUUCAAAGAGUCGAGUUGUUUGGGAAUGCAGCUCUAAAUGGGUGGUAAAUUCCAUCUAAAGCUAAAUAUUGGCAAGAGACCGAUAGUGAACAAGUACCGUGAGGGAAAGAUGAAAAGAACUUUGGAAAGAGAGUUAAACAGUACGUGAAAUUGUUGAAAGGGAAACGCUUGAAGUCAGUCAUGUUGACACAGGGAUCAACUUUGCUUUUAUUUGCUUUGUGUAUUUUCUGGUUGACAGGUCAGCAUCAAUUUUAACCAGUGGAUAAAAGGUUGAUGGGAAUGUGGCAUCCUUGGUGAUGCUUUAUAGACUUGUAUACAUUGGUUGAAAUUGAGGAAAUCAGCAUGCUGUUAGUAGCCAGGUUUUUUUUUUAAUUAAAAAAAACCAUGUUUUUCAUGCUUAGGAUUGCUGGCACAUAAUGGCUUUAAUCGACCCGUCUUGAAACACGGACCAAGGAGUCCAACAUACCUGCAAGUAUUUGGGUGGAAAACUCAAAUGCAUAAUGAAAGUGAAGGUUGGGAUCCCCUCAAAAUAGUGGGGGGAGCACUGAUGCCCAGACCAGACCUUUUGUGACGGAUCUGCGGUGGAGCAUGUAUGUUGGGACCCGAAAGAUGGUGAACUAUGCCUGAAUAGGGUGAAGCCAGAGGAAACUCUGGUGGAGGCUCGUAGCGAUUCUGACGUGCAAAUCGAUCGUCAAAUUUGGGUAUAGGGGCGAAAGACUAUCGAC